RNAcentral lists this non-coding RNA (26 nucleotides) under Mus musculus (house mouse). The record is from RNAcentral. Lineage: Eukaryota; Metazoa; Chordata; Mammalia; Rodentia; Muridae.
UCUUCAGCCGAACCUUAAAAGUGAAU